Molecule: ribosomal RNA, 1309 nt
Filed under: Escherichia coli
Lineage: Bacteria; Pseudomonadati; Pseudomonadota; Gammaproteobacteria; Enterobacterales; Enterobacteriaceae
Description: partial 23S ribosomal RNA
Rfam family: Bacterial large subunit ribosomal RNA
Source: RNAcentral
GGGACACGUGGUAUCCUGUCUGAAUAUGGGGGGACCAUCCUCCAAGGCUAAAUACUCCUGACUGACCGAUAGUGAACCAGUACCGUGAGGGAAAGGCGAAAAGAACCCCGGCGAGGGGAGUGAAAAAGAACCUGAAACCGUGUACGUACAAGCAGUGGGAGCCUCUUAAUGGGGUGACUGCGUACCUUUUGUAUAAUGGGUCAGCGACUUAUAUUCUGUAGCAAGGUUAACCGAAUAGGGGAGCCGAAGGGAAACCGAGUCUUAACUGGGCGUUAAGUUGCAGGGUAUAGACCCGAAACCCGGUGAUCUAGCCAUGGGCAGGUUGAAGGUUGGGUAACACUAACUGGAGGACCGAACCGACUAAUGUUGAAAAAUUAGCGGAUGACUUGUGGCUGGGGGUGAAAGGCCAAUCAAACCGGGAGAUAGCUGGUUCUCCCCGAAAGCUAUUUAGGUAGCGCCUCGUGAAUUCAUCUCCGGGGGUAGAGCACUGUUUCGGCAAGGGGGUCAUCCCGACUUACCAACCCGAUGCAAACUGCGAAUACCGGAGAAUGUUAUCACGGGAGACACACGGCGGGUGCUAACGUCCGUCGUGAAGAGGGAAACAACCCAGACCGCCAGCUAAGGUCCCAAAGUCAUGGUUAAGUGGGAAACGAUGUGGGAAGGCCCAGACAGCCAGGAUGUUGGCUUAGAAGCAGCCAUCAUUUAAAGAAAGCGUAAUAGCUCACUGGUCGAGUCGGCCUGCGCGGAAGAUGUAACGGGGCUAAACCAUGCACCGAAGCUGCGGCAGCGACACUAUGUGUUGUUGGGUAGGGGAGCGUUCUGUAAGCCUGUGAAGGUGUACUGUGAGGUAUGCUGGAGGUAUCAGAAGUGCGAAUGCUGACAUAAGUAACGAUAAAGCGGGUGAAAAGCCCGCUCGCCGGAAGACCAAGGGUUCCUGUCCAACGUUAAUCGGGGCAGGGUGAGUCGACCCCUAAGGCGAGGCCGAAAGGCGUAGUCGAUGGGAAACAGGUUAAUAUUCCUGUACUUGGUGUUACUGCGAAGGGGGGACGGAGAAGGCUAUGUUGGCCGGGCGACGGUUGUCCCGGUUUAAGCGUGUAGGCUGGUUUUCCAGGCAAAUCCGGAAAACCAAGGCUGAGGCGUGAUGACGAGGCACUACGGUGCUGAAGCAACAAAUGCCCUGCUUCCAGGAAAAGCCUCUAAGCAUCAGGUAACAUCAAAUCGUACCCCAAACCGACACAGGUGGUCAGGUAGAGAAUACCAAGGCGCUUGAGAGAACUCGGGUGAAGGAACUAGGCAAAAUGGUGCCGUA